AAGAAGCGAAGAAGGAAAAAAAGGAGAAAGAAGAGAAGAAAGAUGCGUUGAGAUAUGAAAUAACAUUAGACGGAGGACGGUACCGAUUCAGCAACAUAAAGGUAAAUCACGAAGAGGCCUCUAAGAUAUGUAAGCAGUAUGGACUCGAACUUAUUACUAUACCAAACAAAGAAAGGAAUAAUUUCAUCUAUAAUUUAAUUGAACUAUAUGGUAAAUCUGAUGGCAAGUACUGGACGUCAGGAACAAAAAGGUCCGACGACCUGUGGAUAUGGGGGGAUCUUCGGCCUAUAACUUAUUUCAAUUGGGCCCCUAGUGAACCUGAUAAGGAUCAGUACUGCCUCCAAGUGCGAGCUACUGGCCUGUGGCAUGAUCAGGACUGUGACAGCAAUUCUUUAUUCAUCUGUGAAUACUCUAUUCCCAGUUACAGUAAUACGUAUAAUACAUACCAGACAUAUCAAGCAU
Anoplophora glabripennis (Asian longhorned beetle) is the source of this 462-nucleotide long non-coding RNA. RefSeq lists it as uncharacterized. NCBI's taxonomy places the organism in Eukaryota, Metazoa, Arthropoda, Insecta, Coleoptera, Cerambycidae. The record is from RefSeq and is a predicted model, not a curated record. The transcript has 3 exons.